Long non-coding RNA from Vicia villosa (hairy vetch), 1642 nucleotides. RefSeq lists it as uncharacterized. NCBI's taxonomy places the organism in Eukaryota, Viridiplantae, Streptophyta, Magnoliopsida, Fabales, Fabaceae. The record is from RefSeq and is a predicted model, not a curated record. The transcript is spliced from 3 exons.
AAACGGCGUCGUUUGGUUCGCGCCCAGUGACCCUCCAAAUCCACCUCAGACCUCACUCUCUCGUUCUUAUCUCUCAACCUCUUUCUCCACCGAAAAUCGCCUCCGCCGCGCCGGAGGCGGCGGAGCUUGGUCAAUCAUCCCUCAUUCUUCUCGACUUGACCUUACAACCUUGAAUCCGCUAUUAGCUUCCUUCAAUUCCUCCUUCACUUCCCUAAAUCUAGCCUAAUAGCAAAACCCUAAAAAACUUCCAAAGCGAAAUUAAUCGAUAAAGAUGAAGAUACAGACCAUGAGACCUUAGGGGAAUCGUUCAGAACGCCGACGGUAUAAAAAGAGAGAGAUGGAUGGAAUUUCAAAUUUACCUGAGUGCAGAAGGAGAGCGAAGAUUGAGAACACCAGAGGGAGGCUCCAAGUGGCGGAAACGCGAAAUAAACGCGAGGAGGGAAAAGAAGACUUCAAUUUCAGGAUUGGCUAUGCCAUUUUCUUUUGCUUUGGUUUUGUAGGUUCGGAUCGUGACUGAGACAUGGUUUGAAGAAGAUGGUUCAUGACUGUUGGAGGAAGUCAGGAGAAUUUUCAGUCGAGGCGUCGGCUUGUAGAAGGCUUGGCCGAAUAUUGUUGCUGGCAGGCUAGUUGACAAUUGGAUAUGUGGUUAAUUUGAAUUGAAACGUACACGUGGCCGUCUUGAAUCAACUUUGAAUUAGGGCACCAGUUUGGAAUUGUGAUUGUUUUGAUGCUAAGGCCUCCGGUUCUAUUGGAAUCCAGCAGGUUCAGUUUCUUGAUGUAUGAACCGGUUCUGUUCAGCUCUUUUUUAUUUGCUGUCAGUUGUAAUUUAGAUGAAGGGUUGCAGGUUCUGAAUUGAUAAUUUUGUUAACAGGUAUGGUGUGGGUUGAUCUGAAUGUUAGUUUAGGAUGAAUUGGUGUUGUGAAGCUUGAGCAUGUAUGAUGUUUGAUAGGUUCAUUUAAUUUUGAAUGAAUGUUAGGAUAGGAACAAUUGAUGCUGAUAUGGUUUUUUGUUUGAAUGUGUGUGAUGUACAGGACUGUUUUGGUAUAGUGAUAUAUAGGGGCUUGAACUUGUUUCAUUGCUUUUUGUUGGAAAGAUUCGAUUCAGCAGGGUUGGCUUUCGGAUUCAAAUCGAUUUGUUUUGUGAAGCAAAUUUCCAUAAUUCUCUUCCGCAUGACCUCGGUAAAUUGAGUCUCUUCCACAAUGGAAUCUUCAUGAGCCUUGUCAGCUAACUUCAGGUGGUACCGCGUUCAUGGUCGACAAUCCGACACAACAAUAGUAGACUUUUCAGCCGGAACACUUUGAGGAUCCGCAGGAGCUGACAAAUACAUAGGAACUUUAAGCUUUUCACUGCCUUCAAAAUAGUACUGUCAUUGCUAUGAAGUUCUUAUGAGUCCUUCACUUUACUUUGCAUGGAAAAACUAUCCAUUUGAAAGUCUCCCUCAGUCUUGUGAUACUAUCACUACCAUAAUGGUUUACAUAACCAGUAGCGUGUUCCUUGCCUUACCAACAACAGUAAUAAAUAUAAUUUUGGAAAGAGGUUCAAUGGCGUGAUUUUUUUGGUGUAACUGUAAUGAAUAAUUGGACUUUUAAAUGAAUGUUUGAUUGUAAUUUGUAAUGGAUGUAAUUAUAUCUUUUCUUUUGAA